This 896-nucleotide long non-coding RNA is filed under the name Pongo abelii (Sumatran orangutan). RNAcentral describes it as "lincRNA". The record is from RNAcentral. Lineage: Eukaryota; Metazoa; Chordata; Mammalia; Primates; Hominidae.
GAGCUCUUUCUGAGAUGAAGAGAACUCUCAAUGUCAAGAUUUCAACAAGAAGAGAAUGGAAUACACGAUACGGACAUCCAUAAAAAUUCUUCAGAGGGUGUUUUACUACUGAGCUGCAAAGGUAGGAAAAAUAAAUUUUUUUUGGUUAGAAAAUAUACUUCUUUCAUCUGCGUUUCAAUAAUUUAUUCCCCUUGUUAGAUAUACAUGGAAUUGAUGUUGCUUAUUCUAAGUGUAAAGUGUUAUUUCUACUUACUGCUCAAUUAGAAAAAUGUAGUGUUUAAUUGUCAGUUUGAAUUUUUCUUUCAUACUAUUACAGUUUAUAUUUUACUAUAGACAGAAUUUACUCUUUCUCCUAAAUUUUGAUAUUCUCCAUAAUUUCAUCGUGCCUUUAUUUCUAUACAUCAGGAAGGCAAUUCUGUGUGUGUGUGUAUAUAUAUAUAUAUAUAGUUAGAAGUUAGAAACUGAAACUCUUUUUUUGUCUGCCAUCAUUUCAUAUUUUUCUUGCUAUUUCAAACCUAUAAUUUUUAAAGAAAUGACUAAAGUAAUCAUUCAUAUAAUUUGCUGUCAGUAACUUAACAAUACAAAUGUUAACAUGGAGACAUUUAGUUCAGCAUUUGCUUUACUUAAUAGAGUGCAGAAAAUGUGGCCCUUUUCCCAGUUAGGGUAUAUGUGAAGAUAAAUUUAUAAUUUCUAGACUAGUAAAUACUUCUCUGAUAAUAACUUAAUUAUAGCUAUUUCAAACCAAAUUGUUUAAUUGUGGUGAAUCAUAUGCAAAUUGUUCACAUGUAGGUCAACACCCACGCCCACAUUCUAGCACCUCUUUCCUAAUUCAUGACAACUUUGCAGUGCCUAAAAGAGCUGAACAGUACAGAUUAGAGACAUAAGACAAAAAAAAA